RNAcentral lists this long non-coding RNA (1042 nucleotides) under Olea europaea (common olive). RNAcentral's name for it is "long non-coding RNA (OEUR_LNC013694)". Lineage: Eukaryota; Viridiplantae; Streptophyta; Magnoliopsida; Lamiales; Oleaceae. The record is from RNAcentral.
GGGGGGGGGGGGGGGGGGGGGGGGGGGGGGGGAGUGGCGUUGUUCGCACUUUGAAGCUCAACUCAAAAUAUGGGAAUGUGAGACAAAUUGACAGAGCUUUGGCUGGGAAAGAUUUCGUUUAUUUUGGUUGAGAGUUUUUAGGGGUAUUUAUAGGAGCAGGGGGCCAAAAGAAGGUUUCUUCAUUUUUUUGGGUGGGUUCAUCCCCUUCCCUGGGCUGAUGUGACGGGCCUGUCAUGUCACUUACUUGAAGUUGGUAGUUUGAGAAGCGUUGCUUUUUGCAUAAGCUGCAUGCAACCUUUCUUCUAAUAGCGAUUGUCAGAUGACGCAAGCCUGCCUCAUCUUACCUUCUAUGUCCAGUCACUUUCUUUCCCAUCGGUGGCAUUAAGAAGGGUGAUCUUCAUUAGGUUGGUAGCCUGAUGUGCACCUCAUAUAGAGUGGCCUCCUUAAUAUUUGGUGUCUAUGAACAGAUUCUGCUUAAUGGAUUAUUUUGCAAGGCUUAGUGAACUUGCAUACAUGCUUCCUUCUUGGGGAUGGUGAGGCUUUAUGAUACUUGAGCACGUAGCCUUGGCUUAGGCCUCAUGCUCGUUGACAUCUUGCAUGUAAUGUUGCCAAAUUUUUAAUAUAAUCCAUAGUCUUUGGUUUCGUUCACAAUGCAUAGGUUGGCGUCAUCGCUCAAAAAGCUGAGUUGGGCCCCAUUACUGAAACUUGUGCAUCGGCCUCAUCAAUUAAAGCAAGGCUAGGCUCAAGGAUUCAUCACUUAGGCUAGGAAUCAUAAGGAUCAGCCUCAUCAUUGAGGCAUGAGCGUCAGCCUCAUCGCCUAAAGCAAUGCCUACACCAAGGCUUCAUCACUUAAGCUAAGACUCAUAAGGGUUGGGCUCAUCAUUGAGGGGUAGACUUCAUCCUCGAGGGAUAGGCCUCAUUCUUGAUAGGCUGGCUUUAUCCUUGAGGAGUCAGCCUCGUUCAUGAAUUGUCUACGUGGCUGUUGUGUGGCAUCGAUCCCCACGUUUAGGGCCCUUGUGAAUUUUGAGGCCCAUCAAUAUGA